AUAACAAAAUAUUCAGUGUAAUCAUAAUAAUUUUUUUUGAAAGGAUAGGAUACACACACCUUUACACUUCCUUUGUGGGGGUAUCAUUGUUAGGUAGUGGAGCCUGAUUAAUUUUAGGUUUUCCUAUUUAUUCUCUAUUUUAGGUUUUCCUAUUUAUUCUCUAUUUUAGGUUUUCCUAUUUUAACCAAAAAUACUCUGAUUUAUUAAUAUAAAUAUACCUCACCGCCGUGGAAGUUUACUCACAUGGUUUUACCACGAAAUAUUGAGUUUUUCUCUCUCUCUCUCUAGAUUUCCCAUCUCUCUCUCUAGAAAGUUCUUGUGUUCUUCAUUCAUCUAGUGUGUGUGCGUGAAUUCGAUCCUAACAAUCAUAUUAAAAGAAGAGUUCUCCAAGAAGAGUUGCAAGAAAUUUUUUUAAAUAACAACUCAUACAAACAAACAAAUCACAAUUAUAGCUCAAUUCAAAAUAAGUUAGGAUUGACGAUGUGAAUUUACACUAUAGCAUUUAAUCUCAUCUCAUGUCAUGACAUGGAAAAUCAAAAAACACUUCCAAAAAUUAGCAAGGCUGAAAACAAGAGUAUAAAACAAAACUAAAUUGUAACCAUUCAUAAAUAGUUUAGGAUCUCUUUGAAAAGCUACAUGUUAAUUACAAUUAAUGUAAUUACCACCCUUGUAAUUAUAUAAUUACACAACAUAAUAAUUACUCAAUAUAAUAACUAUAAUGACUUGCACAAGUACAAUUACAGUUAAAUUAAUUUUGAAU
This 760-nucleotide long non-coding RNA is filed under the name Solanum lycopersicum (tomato). Its description in RNAcentral is "partial TCONS_00191944". Lineage: Eukaryota; Viridiplantae; Streptophyta; Magnoliopsida; Solanales; Solanaceae. The record is from RNAcentral.